AGCGAACGCUGGCGGCAGGCUUAACACAUGCAAGUCGAGCGGGCGUAGCAAUACGUCAGCGGCAGACGGGUGAGUAACGCGUGGGAACGUACCUUUUGGUUCGGAACAACUGAGGGAAACUUCAGCUAAUACCGGAUAAGCCCUUACGGGAAAGAUUUAUCGCCGAAAGAUCGGCCCGCGUCUGAUUAGCUAGUUGGUGAGGUAACGGCUCACCAAGGCGACGAUCAGUAGCUGGUCUGAGAGGAUGAUCAGCCACAUUGGAACUGAGACACGGCCCAAACUCCUACGGGAGGCAGCAGUGGGGAAUAUUGGACAAUGGGCGAAAGCCUGAUCCAGCCAUGCCGCGUGAGUGAUGAAGGCCCUAGGGUUGUAAAGCUCUUUUGUGCGGGAAGAUAAUGACGGUACCGCAAGAAUAAAGCCCCGGCUAACUUCGUGCCAGCAGCCGCGGU
RNAcentral lists this ribosomal RNA (449 nucleotides) under uncultured bacterium. RNAcentral's name for it is "bacterial SSU rRNA". It matches the Rfam family "Bacterial small subunit ribosomal RNA", at positions 29 to 521 of the family's 1533-position model. The record is from RNAcentral.